UUCGUUUAAGUUAACUUUAAAAAAAAUGAAAUACGCAUUAAUUAUAAUAAUGUUCACAACGAUUGCUUUAUUGUCUGCUUCUCUCGAAAGAGUAUAUGGUAAUCGUAGACUCGGUUAUGGAUGUUAUAAAGAACAAUGCUGGUCAUAUUGUGGCAGAUCCUGGGUAUCCGGUGAUUGGUGUUACACAAAUAAUCAUUAUGGAAAUGGACUGAAGCCAUGUGAUGCUGAUUACGAAUGUUAUAACUUUGUUGAUAAAUGCAUUUCAGCCUGUGGCAGAUAAAAUACUAGUUUUUCAUUUAAAUUAAAAUCUUUAAAUAUUUUUUGAAAAAUAAAAUACUUUAACUUAUCUUAAA
Long non-coding RNA from Hydra vulgaris (swiftwater hydra), 353 nucleotides. RefSeq lists it as uncharacterized. The record is from RefSeq and is a predicted model, not a curated record. Lineage: Eukaryota; Metazoa; Cnidaria; Hydrozoa; Anthoathecata; Hydridae.